UACGAGGGGGGCAAGCGUUGUUCGGAAUUAUUGGGCGUAAAGGGUGCGUAGGCGGUGCGGUAAGUCUGUUGUGAAAUCUCCGGGCUCAACUCGGAGUCUGCAUCAGAAACUGCCGUGCUGGAGUGUGGGAGAGGUGAGUGGAAUUCCCGGUGUAGCGGUGAAAUGCGUAGAGAUCGGGAGGAACACCUGCGGCGAAAGCGGCUCACUGGACCAUAACUGACGCUGAUGCACGAAAGCUAGGGGAGCAAACAGG
This 253-nucleotide ribosomal RNA is filed under the name uncultured bacterium. RNAcentral describes it as "partial 16S ribosomal RNA". It matches the Rfam family "Bacterial small subunit ribosomal RNA", at positions 524 to 776 of the family's 1533-position model. The record is from RNAcentral.